Molecule: RNA transcript, 6745 nt
Organism: Monomorium pharaonis (pharaoh ant)
Lineage: Eukaryota; Metazoa; Arthropoda; Insecta; Hymenoptera; Formicidae
Gene name: protein dpy-30 homolog
Exons: 5
Source: RefSeq, a predicted model, not a curated record
GUCGACGGCGCGCUUUACCGGCGCGACGCCGUUGCCGGUGACGUUUACUCCGACCGCGAUAGAUCGACGUCGGUCGGCAGUGACGAUUGUUUACACGAUGGCGUCCGGCGGUGAAAACGCGACCGAGGAACGGACGGAAGCGUCAACGCCGGCUCAACCCGUCGCCAAUGCCGUAUCCGAGGCUACCCACAAAGUAAUAGGGAUGGACAAGGAUGGCGAUCUAUCUGGCGUACCGGCGAAGAAACCCCGUGUCGAAGUACAAUCUCUUCCAACCAGGCAGUAUUUAGAUCAGACAGUAGUGCCGAUAUUAUUGCAAGCAUUGUCCUGCCUAGCCAAAGAAAGGCCUGCCGAUCCCAUAAGCUUUCUCGCCGGUUAUUUGUUGAGAAACAAGAGCCAAUACGACAGCGGUGGCUCGCCGCCGACUAGUCAAUGAAUGAAUGCUUCCACGUGUUCCCGUGCACUUGUUUUAUGGAAAGUUUCAAGAACAUUUCUUCCCGUUCGAUUGCACUUGAGAUACGUAGUUCGAGAGCUCAGCAAGUCGAGCUGUUUGUGAUAUACAACAUCCUUUGUAAAGCUCAAUUAAGGAAUCGCGACUGUUAAACCGGAUUGCGGAGCGCUUUUGGCAACUGAAAGGUGUAUUAUGCACGGUAGAAAUCACGGAUUUAUAAAGCGGUUUUUUUAAGUCAGUGAGUGACAGAGAAAGAGGUAGAAACAGCGGUAAAAGAAGAAAUCGCUGACGUUCCCGAUCGGCCAGAAUAAGAAUACAAGUCUUGGGAAACGCGGCGGUAUUUUUAGAGAUUCUCUUCACCGAUGCGGCACGGGAUUAUAUAAAAUGUUUCUACAUAACCGAGAACUCUCCGUCGCAGCUCUCUGCUUCGGCGGGGUGUCGGGGAAAAGCGCUUACCCGGCAGAUUCGCGCGCGCUGGGCUAAAGCCCUCCUUUCUCUCGUAUUUUUUCGUCGCUUGAGUUUUAUCUGAUAACGGCAGAAAUAUUUUUCGGCCUCGACCGCGAAAGGUGAUACACGAUCUUUUGUUGUCACAGCAGAAAGCCAAAGCAAUAAAUCGGUGUGAAUUCGAGUCUCUAUAUAUUUUUACGAUUAACUGUCCUUCGGAUCUUUCCAACUUCCUGAUAGUCGUCGCAAACGAAAGUUUGCGGUUUUUUUACACGUAAAAGUUAAUAAUGUAAUAUUGAAAUUCAAAUCUCACUUUGUUUAUCUGAUAAAGUUAAUUCUUCGCGUUAUUUCCACGAUACGUUUGAUUUGGAUCAUUGCAUGCAUGCAAAUUACAACCUAGUUAUCUCAAUAUUGGAUCGUAAAUAAUCCAAUAACCGCGGUAAUACAAAUAAUUACCUAUACCGAAGUGUUCGAAUAUUUGAAUUUCGGAAUAGAGCUGUGCCGGCCGUCGCAACGUUCGCCAAACAUCCGAAUAUCCGAAUGACUUGAAAAUUCGCUUUUGUGGACACAGAGGAGAAUUUCCCACUCACCCUUUGAUUCAUCGCAUAACGUAACGCGAGGAGAGAUAAUCACGGGAAAGCGCUGGUAGGCGCUUUUGAACGGGUUAAUUCGCGAAGUGGCAUUAUUUCCGGCGAGAUAGCCACGCUUCGGGGGAGGGUCACUUCGUUAUCGGGUAACGCGCGCAGUCAACAACGGCGACCUCCGGUCCUACCGCGCAACGCUGGCAACUUAAAUAUUUGUCGGAGAUUAUAUUCAUAUCCUGGGUUUCGCGGGGCGACUUUUUAAUCAGCUUGUCGGCGUUCAUGCUCCCGCGUUCUCUUCCUUCUCUCUCUCUCUCUCUCUCUUUCUCUCUUUGCCCUCCGUUCCGCCGAAUUAUCCCGCGGGCCCGCCGCCGCAGAUUUUCAUUUCAGAUUUGGCUGCGGUACUCUCCGCGCGGGCUUUGCGGGAGAAAAUAGAAGUUCGCUCCCUCCUCCCCAUCCCUCUUUCUCUCUCUUUUGAUUUCAAUCUGUUUGACGGUCUACCAUCUACCAUCUCGUACCAUAGCUGCUCUCUGAGCGUGUGGCGACGACGGGCGUCUCGGCGCGGAGAGAAGACAACGAGAGACAAGACUCAUGACGGAGUGUGUGUGUGUGUGUGUGUGUGAGAGAGAGAGAGAAAGACGCACGUUAUCGGGUUGCGGCAUCGCUCGAACAUCUCAGGCUUCGUCCCAUUUUCUUCCUGCGUUCGCGAGAUCGAGUCCUCCGCCAGACUCUUACUUCGGAAGACUCCUCGAAGGUCGCCCAGGCGUAAUUGCAGAAAUCACUCAUGUUACCUCCCGAACGAUCUAUCUAUCGAGUUCUCAGCUCCGGAAAAAUCUUCGCAAUCUCGAUCUCUAAUUUUCUUCGAACUUUUCUACCAAUCUUAUCGCUUGAUCGAUUCUUGUAUCUAUUUAUAAGGAAUUUGUCAUACAAAUAUGUAGCGAUUCGAUCCAGUAGUAUUUUUGACGUAACCAUAAAUAAUUUACGUUAUAUUGUAUUGUAAAUUAUUAUUAUAUAUUUCUUCCGAGAGAGAGAGAGAGAGAGAGAAUGAGAGGGAGGGCAUAAAAAAUUUGUUUACUUUAGUAGCAACAUGAAAAUGUUAUGUUACUUUAUUUGUAAGCUGAGAAUUGUUAAAAUAAAACGGCAUACAGACGUGAUUUAAAAAAUUUUACUGAAUGUAUAAAAAUAAUAUGUGCGUCAUAAAGUCUUUUGUUAUCAAUUAUAUUUAAAAUUUGUUUAUCACUGUAUCAGUUAGAGCAAGAUGUUAAUUUAAUUUUGUUUUAUUUAAAAGCCAUUUAUAUAUAUGUAUAUUUAAAGUCAUAGAAUCUGGGAUGGAAUAUAUAAUUGGAUGCUGCACGACUCGUUUAAUUAAUUUCGGCUGUAAGUUAGAAGCAUCAUUUAUAGAUAUUGUCUUUUUAAAGUAUCUGAAAUCGAUACUAUCGUAUCGCAAAAUAAUGGCACGUGAUUAUGAUUGGGAAAAUAUUUCAAAGCGUACACACUGUACUAUCGCAGCGGGAUAUUAUUACCCGGUCGUGAGCUCGUAAAAUUCGAUCUUGCGAACGAAAUUGCGAUCAGCGGAAAGACUUUUCGAAAAAACGCGUGCGACAAGAACGUUUUCGGGUCGUCGUCUAACGGCUGCAGCUUUAUCGGAAAUAAAUAUUUUUUUCUUUUGCAGUCACGUGUAUCGUUAUACAGCAAAGAGCGGUUAGUGAGGCGAUACCGAUAUCGCCUGCACGGCCUGCAUCGAUGAAACAUUCCUGCGAAACAUUACCUUUCUUUCAAUGGAGCUUAAUGCGCAGAUCCACCCCCGUGGGCUUCGGUUUUCGAUCGAGGGAGUUCUCCUCCGCCUUUAUCCUACCCACCCUUUAUCGUCUUCCCUCCGGCAGCAGGUCGGCGUCUCUCGGCAAAGCGCUUAAUCCUCCAACGAGUCGAAAACCCCGAUGGUAUUACCGCAAACGUUGAUUUGUGGUAGUGGUACCGGACAUUAUUUAUAAUUUGCGGGUAUUAAUAGUCGGGCUUGUAUUCUUGCGUACAGCAUCUACUCCCUUGACUCUCCCCAUCUACCUUUCUUCGUCCAUUUUCGUCGUUAUUCUUACCUUCGCCUUGCCUCUUUUUCAUAGAUAUAGCAUCUUCAGAACGGGAUCAAUAUAUAUUAAACAUGGUGAUAUAUACGAAACUUUUAAUCUUGAAUAAUACAGUAUUUUAUUAAUUUAUUUUGUAGUUAAUUAUUUUUUAACUCUUACAAUUUAUUUAUAAUUUAUUUAUAAUUCAAACAGGAUUUAUCAGAUCUCCAUUCUGAUUUUACAUAUAAUUAAUAUUUAAAUUAAUGCAUAAAAAGUUAUAGAUAUAAUGUUUAAAUAUAUUAAUUAAUAUAGGAAGACCGAAAAAAAAGAAAAAUGUAGAUUAUUAUACUGUUUUGGGGCCUUAUUUCACAAAUAUUUACUUUUGAUUAUGUUGCAAAAACAUUAAUUACUUUAAAAUAUAAAACUUAUUAUUAUAAAAAAAUGCUAUUUUAUUUGAUAGAAGGUAUUUUCUAAUUUACAUUUAUUAAUGUUUUUAAAAUUUUGUUAAAAAAAUUUUUUGUUUAAGAAAUACUAGGUGAUAUGUCAGUAUUAUAUAUAUAGUGAUCUUUCUUAUAAUAUUUUAUAAUUUUCUAUAUGAGAGCUGUUUAUAAUCUUAUGAUAUAUGUUAGUUAAUAUUGGAUGUAUAUAGUUAUUACAAUUUUUAAAAUAACUGAAAUGUAUAUCUGACCAUGUUUAUGUACGUGGUAUUAAACAUUUUUGUAUAUCGUUUAAUAAAUAAAUUAAAAAUAUGUUAACGCUAAAAUAUUUUCACGGCUAUUUUGCAACAUAGCAGGUAAAUUUCUAUUAAAUUGUAAAUUUAAAAUAUGUUUACAUGUCACAUUCAGAAAUAGCAACAAUGUUACAUGGUUCGUUUACUUUGGGGCCGACAUUUGAAUAGUUGGAAAAUUGAACGUGCUCGAUACGAUUAUAAUAAUUAUUUGUUUCUUGCCGUUCCGCUCGAUCGUGGACGGUUUUCAGGCCGCAUUUUAAACCCUGGAACUUCUUGCAUAUGUAUGAGUCGUCACGUUUCGUUUUCGUCCCUUUCUCCGCGUUACUCGCGUUAUUCGUCGCAUCCCUCGUCUUCGCUCGAGCGAAAGCGCGGAGAGUAUCGAAAACGAUGGAAAACCACGCGGCGUGCGAGCGCGUAGCGUCUCGGCUCUGCGAAUACGUUAUUUCUUCGGACUGUUAUUUUCGCGGACUGGAAUUCACGGAUAUGGCGCAUAGAUAACGGGACCAGAUUUCGCCGUCGCGCCAUACCUUACCGCGGAAUAAUACCUUACCGUCGUAUAACUCACUACCAGCGAACCGAUAUUUUUGUCCGAAAACCACGCACAGCGUUGGACGCGUCUGCUGCAGUUCGCUGCUUUUCUACUUGCGCCCUUGUUGUGACCGCCGCAUUGUCGCUGGAUGAAUUUUCGAGGUUUAAGAAGGUUCUUCAGUCUUUUCACAUAAUAUAAGAACGCGAUUAAAUUUGGAGAAGUUUAUGAUUAACGGGGCGUUCACUUUUGAAAGGUAAAAAAGAUGAUCUUCGAGAUUCUUUUUUAGAAAGUACGCAAAUACUAAUUAAUAAUAAACUUUGGAUACUCCUUUACUGUUAUUUUAAUAAUAUUUAUUUUAAUAAACAUUUUAAAACUAAAAACUGUUAUUUUUAUGUGUGUUAUACACUGAUUACUAGCAGAUUGCAAAAAAAAGCGUAAAGACGACGAGAUAAAUGGCAGCUCUUCUGGACAUAAAACAAAACAAAAAUAAAAAUUAUUUGUAUUCUUGAGAGUGACUAUCGUUUGAUUAAAUAAAAAUACUAACAUUUGACAAAUUAUUCUAGAGAGAUACAAGAAAUUUUUUAAAAUUUAUGUGAAAUCUUUUAAUGGCUUUUUUAUAAACAAAAAUAAAUCAAUAAUAAUGAUUCUAACAAAGUUUUAACAAAGAAAGGACAUAUGAUGUACUUGCAAAUAAAAAUUCAUGUCGAUAUUUCUAAUAGUUUUCAAGUUUGCCUAAUAGUAUAAAAACACAGUUAAAAAAAAAUAAUUUUAAAGUUUUAAGUAUUCUUAGACUUUCUUUCCGUACUAAUCUUCUUUCUUUCAAAUAAAAUCUAUUAUUUUGUAUUAUUUUUAUAUUUAAUUAGUUUCACAAUAAAAGGAUGCGCUGGUAAUUACAUUCUGAAAAUAGCAUAAAUGCAGUAAGAUAGAAAAGUAAAUAUAGCAGCUUUAUCGAAUUUUUAAAGUGUGUCACUGUAUUAUUAGAUGUAUCUCUUCGACAAAACGCUUCAAUGUUUCGAUGGGUGCGCUUAAAUAUUUAGAGUUAAGUUGCGCCUCGUAAAAUGUUAACAAGCACGGGAAGCUGGUAAUGAAAAUGGCUGUUGCUCCGCUUCCGUCUUUCUUCCUCAACUUGGCGUAUUACGUAUUUUGCAGCGCCGUGCCGAGAGUGCCAGUCUUCUGUCACAUUGCAAAAGACCAAAACAAAUUAGUGGAUGUAAUGUAAUUGCACAGCGCCAAUUUAUUUCUGCUGCGCGGCGAAGCGCAACUUCGCGUUUCGGGCGUUCCGCCGUAAAUGAAAUUAAGAUCAGCACGAAAUGGGGAACGGUCGCGAUUCAUACGCGGAGAUAACGAGCGAUCAUACCUUUGCGAGUUAGGUGAAAUGUCAGUGGAGGAAAAAUGAGUCCGACAAUCUCUUACCUAUAAUACCGCGAGCCGGAAACGAUUGGUCUUGAUUGAAUUGUACAUACAGAAUUGAUUCCCUGUCAAUAUCCACUGCAUUCGCUUUUCCUGACAUUCAGAUUAAAUAACGUGAUCUAUUUCCUUAUUCUAGGUACGAGCUGUCCGCAUCUUUUCUCUAUCGACAGCAAAUUCUUUGACGAAUAUUGAAUAAAUUUUUUGUUAUUUGCUGGAAUAUUUCUCUUUUAUUCUUUAAUGCUUGUUAUCUUGUCAAUUAAUAAUUACCUGUUCAAGAUAAAAAUGGAGAUUUGUUUCAUAUAGAAGCAAAUAUAUAAAAAAGUAUAUGUUUUCUUUUGAAAAAUUGAUAAUCUCAAAUUUCAGCAAAAUAUAAUAUUUUUUAAUAUUCCAACAUUAUAAUAGUUAUCUCAAAAGAGCAAAAUAUAAUCGUUGUAAUAACAAAAUUAAAAGUUCCAAUUUUUGAUUUAAAGAUUUGAUUGUUACUUAUUCGAUUUUUUCCUUCUACUUAUAAUAACAAAUUAUUAUUGAAAAUAAAAAUAAAAA